Molecule: ribosomal RNA, 603 nt
Filed under: Pedicularis mollis
Lineage: Eukaryota; Viridiplantae; Streptophyta; Magnoliopsida; Lamiales; Orobanchaceae
Description: eukaryotic LSU rRNA
Rfam family: 5.8S ribosomal RNA (bases 236-391)
Source: RNAcentral
UGUCGAAUCCUGCAAAAGCAGACCGCGAACACGUUAAACCAGUUUGGGACCGCUGGUCUUGGGGGUCACCCUUUGCCGGCGCCCAACUCUCGCACAGCAUGCGCCUGGCGCGCAUGGUGCGGGCUAACGAACCCCGGCGCGGUAUGCGCCAAGGAAAACUCAUAGAAUCGUCGGCCUCCUAUCGUCCCGUUCGCGGUGUGCGGUGGGGGAACCUACGUCUAUUCAAUGUCAUAACGACUCUCGGCAACGGAUAUCUCGGCUCUCGCAUCGAUGAAGAACGUAGCGAAAUGCGAUACUUGGUGUGAAUUGCAGAAUCCCGUGAACCAUCGAGUCUUUGAACGCAAGUUGCGCCCGAAGCCAUUCGGCCGAGGGCACGUCUGCCUGGGCGUCACGCAUCGCGUCGCCUCCCUUCCCCAUGGGGUGGUGGGGGCGGAAAUUGGCCCCCCGUGCGGCAUAAGCUGCGCGGCCGGCCUAAAUGCGAACCUGUGGCGACUCGCGUCACGACCAGUGGUGGUUGAACACUCAACUCUCGUGCUGUCGUGGCGUUUUUUGUUUUCCGCAGGGUUUCGUCCUGGACCCGACGGCGCGAUCUCAUCGCGCCUU